GACGAACGCUGGCGGCGUGCUUAACACAUGCAAGUCGAACGGAAAGGCCCUGCUCUUGUGGGGUGCUCGAGUGGCGAACGGGUGAGUAACACGUGAGUAACCUGCCCUUGACUUUGGGAUAACAUCAGGAAAAUGGGGCUAAUACAGGAUAGGAGAUCCUGCUGCACGGGGGGGGUUGGAAAGUUUCGGCGGUUGGGGAUGGUCUCGCGGCUUAUCGGCUUGAUGGUCGGGUAGUGGCUUUCCAAGGCUUUGACGGGUAGCCGGCCUGGGAGGGUGACCGGCGACAAUGCGACUGAGAUACGGCCCAGACGCCUACGGGAGGCAGCAGGGGGGAGUAUUGCACAAUGGGCGGAAGCCUGAGGCAGCAACGCCGCGUGCGGGAUGACGGCCUUCGGGUUGUAAACCGCUUUCGCCUGUGACGAAGCGUGAGUGACGGUAAUGGGUAAAGAAGCACCGGCUAACUACGUG
Molecule: ribosomal RNA, 468 nt
Filed under: uncultured bacterium
Lineage: Bacteria
Description: partial 16S ribosomal RNA
Rfam family: Bacterial small subunit ribosomal RNA
Source: RNAcentral